Molecule: long non-coding RNA, 745 nt
Organism: Urocitellus parryii (Arctic ground squirrel)
Lineage: Eukaryota; Metazoa; Chordata; Mammalia; Rodentia; Sciuridae
Source: RefSeq, a predicted model, not a curated record
UAGCACCCGUGGCUGGGCUUCUCCUCUGCUAAUCCCAUCAAAACCCUACUUAUUUGUGCAUAUAUAGUAUUUUUCUGCCAACCACUUAAUAUUUUUUUUUCUUCCAACCGAAAACAAAAGCAGAAGGAAUACAAGAUGUUCCUCCCUGAAGUUUUAUGUAAAAUUCAAUACCUGGGCAUUUUCCUCCAAAGGAAAUUGUUUCUUCUAGCCACAUGAUCACCAGCUCAGCUACUAGGCUCUUUCUUAGCAAAUUGGACUCAACUUUCUCAGGGCACCCCUCACCGAACUGGAUAUAUGUAAAUCAUAAUAUGAACCAUGGUCUCAUUCUAUUCAGAGAAGAAAUAUUAAAUUAACAGAAGUGAUUCUAAAGGAUAACAGUGUAUGAGACCAUAACAACCUUGAAAACCGCUUCAUUUUCUGUGCAAAGAAGUCUUAUGAAUCUAUAUUUUAAAUUUACUGAAUCAGUGAAAUGACUUUGUAGGUUAAUUUGCAAAUGCAAGCUGUAGUCUCCAGUUUUAUUUUAUGUAUUGACACUAAUUGGUAAAGGUGUACAAUGUGAUUAGAAUGCAUUUUGAAGAUGCUUUCUGUACAGAUAUAAAAUACAGGGACUAAAAUAAUGCUGUGCAGUGUAUAGCAGAGCCAUUUUUCGGCUUUGGUGUACUCAACUUUUUCAGUAUUUAAAAAAAGUGUUUUGAAUAACAUAAAAGUCUCUUUAUUGUAUAAAUAAUAAAAUGUCACCUUAUUG